Oryza barthii is the source of this 205-nucleotide non-coding RNA. The record is from Rfam. NCBI's taxonomy places the organism in Eukaryota, Viridiplantae, Streptophyta, Magnoliopsida, Poales, Poaceae.
AAAAAGGCAAACCCUGGAUUUCUGUGCAAACGUUUGACCGUCCGUCUUAUAUAAAAUUUUUUUAUAUUAAGUAUUUUCAUUGUUGUUAGAUGAUAAAACAUGAUUAAUACUUUAUACGUGACUUAUCUUUUUAAUUUUUUUAUAAUUUUUUUAAAUAAGACAGACGGUCAAACAUUAGACACGGAAACCAAGGUUUGUCUUUUUU